Molecule: ribosomal RNA, 468 nt
Filed under: uncultured bacterium
Lineage: Bacteria
Description: partial 16S ribosomal RNA
Rfam family: Bacterial small subunit ribosomal RNA
Source: RNAcentral
GACGAACGCUGGCGGCGUGCUUAACACAUGCAAGUCGAACGAUGAUGCCAGCUUGCUGGUGGAUUAGUGGCGAACGGGUGAGUAACACGUGAGCAACCUGCCCCUGACUUCGGGAUAACCGCGGGAAACCGUGGCUAAUACCGGAUAUGACGCGCUAUCGCAUGGUGGUGUGUGGAAAGAUUUAUCGGUUGGGGGUGGGCUCGCGGCCUAUCAGCUUGUUGGUGGGGUGAUGGCCUACCAAGGCGACGACGGGUAGCCGGCCUGAGAGGGUGACCGGCCACACUGGGACUGAGACACGGCCCAGACUCCUACGGGAGGCAGCAGUGGGGAAUAUUGCACAAUGGGCGCAAGCCUGAUGCAGCGACGCCGCGUGAGGGAUGACGGCCUUCGGGUUGUAAACCUCUUUCAGUAGGGAAGAAGGCCUUCGGGUUGACGGUACCUGCAGAAGAAGCGCCGGCUAACUACGUG